This 251-nucleotide ribosomal RNA is filed under the name Piptocephalidaceae sp. Its description in RNAcentral is "partial small subunit ribosomal RNA". It matches the Rfam family "Eukaryotic small subunit ribosomal RNA", at positions 1352 to 1541 of the family's 1831-position model. Lineage: Eukaryota; Fungi; Zoopagomycota; Zoopagomycetes; Zoopagales; Piptocephalidaceae. The record is from RNAcentral.
UAAAUAGGAACAAGCGACACUUUCGGGCGGAAUGAUACGGACCAUGCUAAGCGUCGCUUCGGCGGCGUGGCCGUAUGGCACCGGUCAUCCGUUCGUCCUUGGCCUACUUCUUAGAGGGACUGCCGGUGUUGCAACCGGAGGAAGUUUGAGGCAAUAACAGGUCUGUGAUGCCCUUAGAUGUUCUGGGCCGCACGCGCGCUACACUGACGGAGCCAGCGAGUACUGGCGCAAGCCUUCCUUGGCCGAAAGGU